UCGGUGUGAUCAAGCCUACAUCCG
This 24-nucleotide non-coding RNA is filed under the name Arabidopsis thaliana (thale cress). The record is from RNAcentral. Lineage: Eukaryota; Viridiplantae; Streptophyta; Magnoliopsida; Brassicales; Brassicaceae.